Molecule: ribosomal RNA, 431 nt
Filed under: uncultured archaeon
Lineage: Archaea
Description: bacterial SSU rRNA
Rfam family: Archaeal small subunit ribosomal RNA
Source: RNAcentral
AACCAGCUCUUCAAGUGGUCGGGAUAAUUAUUGGGCUUAAAGUGUCCGUAGCCGGUUUAGUAAGUUCCUGGUAAAUCGGGUAGCUUAACUAUCUAUAUGCUAGGAAUACUGCUAUACUAGAGGGCGGGAGGAGGUCUGAGGUACUACAGGGGUAGGGUGAAAUCUUAUAAUCCUUGUAGGACCACCAGUGGCGAAGGCGUCAGACUGGAACGCGCCUGACGAUGAGGGACGAAAGCCAGGGGAGCGAACCGGAUUAGAUACCCGGGUAGUCCUGGCCGUAAACGAUGCAUACUAGGUGAUGGUACGGCCAUGAGCCGUAUCAGUGCCGUAGGGAAACCGUUAAGUGUGCCGCCUGGGAAGUACGGUCGCAAGGCUAAAACGUUAAAGGGAAUUGGCGGGGGAGCACCGACAAGGGGUGAAGCCUGCGGUUC